Molecule: ribosomal RNA, 1287 nt
Filed under: metagenome
Description: bacterial SSU rRNA
Rfam family: Bacterial small subunit ribosomal RNA
Source: RNAcentral
UAGCUAGUUGGUGAGGUAAAGGCUUACCAAGGCGACGAUCUGUAGCGGGUCUGAGAGGAUGAUCCGCCACACUGGAACUGAGACACGGUCCAGACUCCUACGGGAGGCAGCAGUGGGGAAUUUUGGACAAUGGGGGCAACCCUGAUCCAGCCAUGCCGCGUGAGUGAAGAAGGCCUUCGGGUUGUAAAGCUCUUUCGGCCGGGAAGAAAUCGCAUGGGCCAAUACCCUGUGUGGUUGACGGUACCGGAAUAAGAAGCACCGGCUAACUACGUGCCAGCAGCCGCGGUAAUACGUAGGGAGCGAGCGUUAAUCGGAAUUACUGGGCGUAAAGCGUGCGCAGGCGGUUUUGUAAGACAGGCGUGAAAUCCCCGGGCUUAACCUGGGAACUGCGUUUGUGACUGCAAGGCUAGAGUACGGCAGAGGGGGGUGGAAUUCCACGUGUAGCAGUGAAAUGCGUAGAGAUGUGGAGGAACACCAAUGGCGAAGGCAGCCCCCUGGGUCGAUACUGACGCUCAUGCACGAAAGCGUGGGUAGCAAACAGGAUUAGAUACCCUGGUAGUCCACGCCCUAAACUAUGUCAACUAGGUGUUGGGUGGGUAAAACCAUUUAGUACCGUGGCUAACGCGUGAAGUUGACCGCCUGGGGAGUACGGCCGCAAGGUUAAAACUCAAAGGAAUUGACGGGGACCCGCACAAGCGGUGGAUGAUGUGGAUUAAUUCGAUGCAACGCGAAAAACCUUACCUACCCUUGACAUGCCAGGAACUUGCCAGAGAUGGCUUGGUGCCCGAAAGGGAGCCUGGACACAGGUGCUGCAUGGCUGUCGUCAGCUCGUGUCGUGAGAUGUUGGGUUAAGUCCCGCAACGAGCGCAACCCUUGUCGUUAAUUGCCAUCAUUUAGUUGGGCACUUUAACGAGACUGCCGGUGACAAACCGGAGGAAGGUGGGGAUGACGUCAAGUCCUCAUGGCCCUUAUGGGUAGGGCUUCACACGUCAUACAAUGGUCGGUACAAAGGGUUGCCAAGCCGCGAGGCGGAGCCAAUCCCAGAAAGCCGAUCGUAGUCCGGAUUGCAGGCUGCAACUCGCCUGCAUGAAGUCGGAAUCGCUAGUAAUCGUGGAUCAGCAUGUCACGGUGAAUACGUUCCCGGGUCUUGUACACACCGCCCGUCACACCAUGGGAGCGGGUUCCGCCAGAAGUAGGUAGCCUAACCGCAAGGGGGGCGCUUACCACGGCGGGGUUCGUGACUGGGGUGAAGUCGAAACAAGGUAGCCGUAGGGGAACCUGCGGCUG